CGUUUCCCCAUUGGUCCACGCUCCUCGGAGCCCAGAAGAGCGGCUCCACGCUACCCUUCCUCAUUGGCUGAUGGCAUCGCCCGCCCUCCGCCCUAGACAGUUGUCGACCGCUGAUUGAACCGGGGCUGCUCGCAGGAAGAGGCCGCAGAGGCGGCGGAAGCAGCUCUGUCGCCAUCUUUGGUAGGGGCAGGGGCUGAGGCCGAGGCGGAGCCCCAUCAGGCUGCAGUGGAAUUCGGCCGCUGUCCCGCGCCUACUCAGUUGCUCUGUGUACCCUCUGUUCUGGGUCCCAGGUCUUCCCGAAGAACCCCACGGACUUCCCUGCUGUGGUCCCGACUCGUGGUGCAGGGACCAGGUGGGCUGGGGAACCAGCCUUUGGGGAACCGGUGAGGAGAGUCCAGAUUGCCCCGACAGGUAGACAGGAGGACCCAGUCGGGGCGGACAGAUGUCGGGUAAGAGGGGCUCCCCCUCCAGGCUGCCUUCCCAGAGCUCAGAGGGGCGCCCGGGGCCAGGACUGGUUGCCUGGCUUUGAGUUCGGAACCAUCCCGCUUUACUGGGGAGAUUGGCGGCUUCAGAGGUUUGUCCCCCACGCCAGGAAGACCUCUUCUUCCCCCUUUUACUCACAAGCCUCGGGAGCCUGGCCGAGGUGGCUGGUUUUCUCUCUUGCUUUCCAGCUGAGCGCUCUGCGCCCUCGGCUGCCCUCCUUUCCGGUGCAAGUCUUGGCUCCCUGUGCUUGAAGGCCGGACGUGGGAAAGGUUGGCUCUGUGCUCAGGACGGAAAAGAGAUUUUUAUGGGGCUAAAAGGGCUUGGAGCCCAGCGACAAGGGUUGGAGGCGGGCACUUGGCGGCUGCUCCCAUUCAGUGAAUUCAGUGGGUCAGUAUCAGGUAUUCAUCUUUAAUUCACAUAACAGCAGUCAAGGGAGUGGGGAAAGGGGGGAAGUCAAGUGGCAGAUAUUUACAUCUAAAAUUCACAUUACUUGCUGAAUUGAGAACAUGCUACCACAAUAUAUACAGUAAAAUACUUUUUUGGGACACUAGUACAAAUUUUUUUUUUUCUUUUAACUUUGCUUUCUGAUACAGGUAAGACCAUUAAGUCACUUCUUAUUUUAAACAUAAAUACACAAAGAAAUGGUUAGAAGUUUUCUUAUUUUAAAUAAGCACAGAAUGCCAGAGGUUAAAAACACAUUUAUAGGGCUGAAUACCAAUUGGACAGCACACUCUAUACAUUUUUUGCUCAAAUUCCUGUACAAAUACACAGCAUUCAAAUAGGUAUUUACAAAUAAGCUUGAAAGAAUGAAAAUCAGUAUUUCACAAUCUUUUCAGAGAAUUCUCAUCUCUGGCCUCCCACUUCCCUUCAGACUGGCUGAUUCUCCAAGGAAAGGAAUUUGGAAUAUGUCCUUUUCAUUGAAUUUGGGAAAAUGGAGAGGGAAAAGACAAACCUGGCUCACCCUGUAAAGGCAAGACCAAACAAACCUACACUCCCCUCUCUACCCUCUCACACCACCAGGUGGAGAAGGAAGAUGUUCUUACAGGAGGACUGCCUUGUCCAGGGGUUGAGGUUCAGGAGUGCCCUAAAAUCUAAAUAUGAACUAUCUAAGAAAUCCAAAGCAAGUCCCCGACUGUUACACUUGGGAACACAGAUGGUUCAGGCCUGCCUGGACUGACCCACUCUGCUUGGAGUCACCCUUCAAGUAUCAGAAAGGACCCACACUGGUGAUAGAACACUCCUAGACGCCCUGAAGGUAACGUGGCCCCCCAUCUUAGCUCAUAAGUUACUUGCUGGCAUUCCUGUUAAACAAGUUGGCAUUUGUUUACAAGUGAAAGACACCCUAACCAGGGAAGUCAGAUGGGCCAGUGGAAGAGGAACUAACGGAAAACGUACCUGCUCAACGAGGAGAAGGCAGCCUUGUGACUGUCAAGUUGUGAACUCAAGCAAAUAAAUGUUUUGUAGACUUUUUAAAAGUAA
Molecule: long non-coding RNA, 1962 nt
Organism: Capra hircus (goat)
Lineage: Eukaryota; Metazoa; Chordata; Mammalia; Artiodactyla; Bovidae
Exons: 2
Source: RefSeq, a predicted model, not a curated record